This 492-nucleotide ribosomal RNA is filed under the name uncultured bacterium. Its description in RNAcentral is "partial 16S ribosomal RNA". It matches the Rfam family "Bacterial small subunit ribosomal RNA", at positions 29 to 507 of the family's 1533-position model. The record is from RNAcentral.
AGCGAACGCUGGCGGUAGGCUUAACACAUGCAAGUCGAACGGCAGCACAGUAAGAGCUUGCUCUUACGGGUGGCGGGUGGCGGACGGAAGAGGAAUAUAUCGGAACCUACUUUUUCGUGGGGGAUAACGUAGGGAAACUUAAGCUAAUACCGCAUACGACCUACGGGUGAAAGCAGGGGAUCUUUGGACCGUGUGCGAUUGAACGAGCCGAUGACGGAUUAGCUGGUUGGCGGGGUAAAGGCCAACCAAGGCGGCGAUCCGUAGCUGGUCUGAGAGAAUGGUCAGCCACAUGGGAGGGGAGACGGCGUCCAGACUCCUGCGGGAGGCAGCAGUGUGGAAUAGGGGACAAUGGGCGCAAGCCUUAUACAGCCAGACCGCGUGUGUGGAGACGGCGUUCGGGUUGGGAAGCCCUUUUGUUGGGAAAGAAAAGCAGCAGGUUAAUACCCCGCUGUUCUGACGGUACCCGAAGAAUAAGCACCGGCUAACUUCGUG